AUGGCUUGCUACCCAUGCGAUCCCUAUCCCCACCUCCCCGCUGACACCACAAUCACCGCUCCGGGUCCUGAGCGCGUGCAACGAGGCUACGUCAUCCUCGGUGGUGAGCUCCCUAUGGUCUUCGACGAGUGGGCCAUUGCUACUCUGGUUCCAGGCGUUCCUCCUGAAGAUUUCCCUGCCGCCAAUGCUUUGAUCUUAGAGUUCCUUGAAUCCAAAGGGUGGAGGAUCAACUACACGUCCAGAUGUCGUAUGGGUACUGUCCUGAUCCAAUUUACAACUGCUUGCUCGAGAGAUUUUGCUGUCAGUAACAGCCCAUAUGAGAUUGGGGACUCUGUUCUUCGCAUCACUAGGAAUGAUAGGAGUCUGAACUACCGUAGCAUUGCUUUCACACAUGAUGUUUGGCUUAUGUUGAUGAACUACCCUCUUAAAUGCUGGGAUGUUGGAGUAUUCAGUCGUACUGUCUCUCAGUAUGGCAGGUUUUUGAUCUGGAACAAGGAUCCCAAAGAUAAAACCAGGAUUAUUGUUAAAGUCAAAGUGAUGAGUGUUGACACGCUCCCUGUUAGUAUUGUUGUUCUGCGUAACCUUGACGAUGUUGGGUAUGGAGAUUCAUGGACAUGUCCCACAUACAUUCUCUCCCGUGAGCUUAUUGGUCAGCAGGGUGGCGAUGAGGAUCCUCUUCCCCCUAAUGGAGGAAACCCUCACCCCUUGUCACAUGUUCAGGAAUGA
RNAcentral lists this ribosomal RNA (726 nucleotides) under Triticum aestivum (bread wheat). Its description in RNAcentral is "partial small subunit ribosomal RNA". The record is from RNAcentral. Lineage: Eukaryota; Viridiplantae; Streptophyta; Magnoliopsida; Poales; Poaceae.